RNAcentral lists this ribosomal RNA (606 nucleotides) under Acinetobacter johnsonii. RNAcentral's name for it is "bacterial SSU rRNA". It matches the Rfam family "Bacterial small subunit ribosomal RNA", at positions 115 to 716 of the family's 1533-position model. Lineage: Bacteria; Pseudomonadati; Pseudomonadota; Gammaproteobacteria; Moraxellales; Moraxellaceae. The record is from RNAcentral.
GCUUAGGAAUCUGCCUAUUAGUGGGGGACAACAUUCCGAAAGGAAUGCUAAUACCGCAUACGCCCUACGGGGGAAAGCAGGGGAUCUUCGGACCUUGCGCUAAUAGAUGAGCCUAAGUCAGAUUAGCUAGUUGGUGGGGUAAAGGCCUACCAAGGCGACGAUCUGUAGCGGGUCUGAGAGGAUGAUCCGCCACACUGGGACUGAGACACGGCCCAGACUCCUACGGGAGGCAGCAGUGGGGAAUAUUGGACAAUGGGCGAAAGCCUGAUCCAGCCAUGCCGCGUGUGUGAAGAAGGCCUUUUGGUUGUAAAGCACUUUAAGCGAGGAGGAGGCUACUUGGAUUAAUACUCUAGGAUAGUGGACGUUACUCGCAGAAUAAGCACCGGCUAACUCUGUGCCAGCAGCCGCGGUAAUACAGAGGGUGCGAGCGUUAAUCGGAUUUACUGGGCGUAAAGCGUGCGUAGGCGGCUUCUUAAGUCGGAUGUGAAAUCCCUGAGCUUAACUUAGGAAUUGCAUUCGAUACUGGGAAGCUAGAGUAUGGGAGAGGAUGGUAGAAUUCCAGGUGUAGCGGUGAAAUGCGUAGAGAUCUGGAGGAAUACCGAUGGC